UACGUAGGUGGCAAGCGUUGUCCGGAUUUACCGGGCGAAAGAGCGCGCAGGCGGUCGUUCAAGUCGCGUGUGAAAGCCCCCGGCUCAACUGGGGAGGGUCACGCGAUACUGAUCGACUCGAAGGCAGGAGAGGGUAGUGGAAUUCCCGGUGUAGUGGUGAAAUGCGUAGAUAUCGGGAGGAACACCAGUGGCGAAGGCGACUACCUGGCCUGUUCUUGACGCUGAGGCGCGAAAGCUAGGGGAGCAAACGGG
RNAcentral lists this ribosomal RNA (252 nucleotides) under uncultured bacterium. RNAcentral describes it as "partial 16S ribosomal RNA". It matches the Rfam family "Bacterial small subunit ribosomal RNA", at positions 524 to 776 of the family's 1533-position model. The record is from RNAcentral.